This 143-nucleotide small RNA is filed under the name Planktothrix agardhii. RNAcentral describes it as "HEARO". It matches the Rfam family "HNH endonuclease-associated RNA and ORF (HEARO) RNA", at positions 1 to 132 of the family's 211-position model. The record is from RNAcentral. Lineage: Bacteria; Bacillati; Cyanobacteriota; Cyanophyceae; Oscillatoriales; Microcoleaceae.
GUCAGCACCCCGCACUAAAGUGACGGGGCUUCAUACCUACCUCUAACUUUAGUUAGUUGACCAGCCUAAGUCUUAACUGACUCCGUUAUUGGUAAGCGUUAAAGUUCUUACCUACAGAUGCGUAGCUAGUUUGUAGCUCUAAA